Molecule: ribosomal RNA, 301 nt
Filed under: uncultured bacterium
Lineage: Bacteria
Description: partial 16S ribosomal RNA
Rfam family: Bacterial small subunit ribosomal RNA
Source: RNAcentral
CAGUAGCCGCGGUAAUACGAAGGGUGCAAGCGUUACUCGGAAUUACUGGGCGUAAAGCGUGCGUAGGUGGUGGUUUAAGUCCGUUGUGAAAGCCCUGGGCUCAACCUGGGAAUUGCAGUGGAUACUGGGUCACUAGAGUGUGGUAGAGGAUAGUGGAAUUUCCGGUGUAGCAGUGAAAUGCCUAGAGAUCGGAAGGAACAUCUGUGGCGAAGGCGACUAUCUGGGCCAACACUGACACUGAGGCACGAAAGCGUGGGGAGCAAACAGGAUUAGAUACCCCUGUAGUCCCUGUCUCUUAUAC